Non-coding RNA from Schistosoma margrebowiei, 45 nucleotides. Lineage: Eukaryota; Metazoa; Platyhelminthes; Trematoda; Strigeidida; Schistosomatidae. The record is from Rfam.
AUUUAACUGACGAGUCCCAAAUAAGAUGAAACGCACGUCUUUGAU